CACUUGGAGACUACGAGUUUGAUAGGCCGGAUGUGUAAGUCCAGUAAUGGAUUGAGCUUACCGGUACUAAUUGACCGUGCGGCUUGACCAUAAUAAA
Molecule: ribosomal RNA, 97 nt
Filed under: Deltaproteobacteria bacterium GWC2_42_51
Lineage: Bacteria; Deltaproteobacteria
Description: partial 23S ribosomal RNA
Rfam family: Bacterial large subunit ribosomal RNA
Source: RNAcentral